Molecule: ribosomal RNA, 477 nt
Filed under: Triticum aestivum (bread wheat)
Lineage: Eukaryota; Viridiplantae; Streptophyta; Magnoliopsida; Poales; Poaceae
Description: partial small subunit ribosomal RNA
Source: RNAcentral
AUGAGUCGUCAUGAUGGCAUCAACAUCCCUGAUGAGACGUUCUACCUUGGAGAUGCUAACUAUGCAUGUCGGCCAGGUGUUCUUCCACCCUUCAGAAAAACCAGGUACCAUCUGAACGAGUUUGUUGGUAGGAACUAUCCUAAGACUCCUCAGGAACUGUUCAAUUUCAGACACUCCAACCUUAGCGUCACUGUUGAGAGGUUUGGAGCUUUGAAGAACAGGUUUAAGAUCCUAGAUCAGAAGCCAUUCCACGCUUACCCUACCCAGGUGAAGCUUGUUCUUGCAUGUUGCAUCAUUCACAACUGGAUCCUGCAAUGGGGAGUUGAUGAAUUUGUGUCGGAGGAGGAAGAUGUGACUCCUGAUGAGGUGAUCAGCUCCUGCCAUAGUGUGGAGGCGUUCGACAAUGAAGCGUGGAAGAACAAAAGGUUGGAGUGGGCUCAUGCAAUGUGGGAUAACAGAGACCAGACAAGAAUCUGA